Loxodonta africana (African savanna elephant) is the source of this 107-nucleotide small nuclear RNA. The record is from Ensembl. Lineage: Eukaryota; Metazoa; Chordata; Mammalia; Proboscidea; Elephantidae.
AUGCUUACUUCGGCAGCACAUAUAUUAAAAUUGGAACGAUACAGAGAAGAUUAGCAUAGCCGCUACACAAGGAUGACAUGCAAAUUUGUGAAGCUUUCCAUAUUUUU